AGCUGGUCCAAAGGUAGUGAGUUCUCUCAAUGGAUUGUUCACAGUCAGUUACAGAUCAAACUCCUUGUUCUACACUUUCCUCCUUUUUCCCUACUGUACUCAACUAGUCUUUU
Cercocebus atys (sooty mangabey) is the source of this 113-nucleotide unclassified non-coding RNA. It matches the Rfam family "Y RNA". Rfam says of the family: Y RNAs are components of the Ro ribonucleoprotein particle (Ro RNP), in association with Ro60 and La proteins. The Y RNAs and Ro60 and La proteins are well conserved, but the function of the Ro RNP is not known. The record is from Ensembl. Lineage: Eukaryota; Metazoa; Chordata; Mammalia; Primates; Cercopithecidae.